Molecule: small nucleolar RNA, 77 nt
Organism: Cryptomeria japonica (Japanese cedar)
Lineage: Eukaryota; Viridiplantae; Streptophyta; Pinopsida; Cupressales; Cupressaceae
Product: small nucleolar RNA R160
Exons: 1
Source: RefSeq, a predicted model, not a curated record
GGCGAAAUGAUGAUUCUGUAAACUGAUUCAUGAUGUUUCAAAAUGGAAAAACAAGUCUUCAAAGUUUUCUGAUCGCC